Sus scrofa (pig) is the source of this 2269-nucleotide long non-coding RNA. RefSeq lists it as uncharacterized. Lineage: Eukaryota; Metazoa; Chordata; Mammalia; Artiodactyla; Suidae. The record is from RefSeq and is a predicted model, not a curated record.
CUGUUUCUGAGUUCCCCACAGACCCAGUUAUCUAAUGUAAAUAUGGCCCUUGCCAGGCUAAUGUUUGCCCUGAGAGAAGACGGAUGAGGUGACCCGUGGCCAGAGGUGCCCAGAGGCUGUGCACACUGCGCUGAGCUGGGCAGAUGCCAAGCUGGACAUGGGGAGGGGGUGGGACCUCAGGGUGCAGCCAGAGAGGAGUGGGGGCUGGAGGGAGACGGGGCAGCUCCGGGGACUGGCUGUGAGACCCAGCACCCCCGCCUCCGCCGCCUCCGCCCCGCCCGAGGGGGCCGGGCUUUCCUGCUGGGCCUGCAGAGGGCCCUUCAGAAAGGCCCACGGAGGAGCCUGUCUCCUCAGGGGCCUGAGGCACAGACGGGGAGCCGUCGCCUUGGUCUGGAGGUGGCAGCAGUGUGAAGCCAGGAAGUGGGCAGGAGCCUCCGGAGGAGCUUAAUGGGCCGGGAUCUCUGCAGUCACAUCUACCGAGGAGCCCUGCCGGGCUCUGAGCUCCUGGAGGGGCCAGCAAGUCCUCUCAGUGUCCGGCGCGAGGCCUGGUGGGUACAGCUGCUCAGAUAACGUGGUUCAGCCCAGACGGCCUGGAAGUCUGAGAUGCUAGGAGUCUGAGAUGCGGAGGAGAGACACCCAGCAGCGGGAGGGGCCCGGCCUGGUGGGAGGGCCCUUUGUGACUCAGAGCUCCUGCCCUUCCUGUGGCCCCUAGGACCCUGCAAGAUGAAGUCUGCUUCAGGGCCCGGAAGGAACCCCCUGUCCCCGGCCGGGCCAAGGCCCCAGUGAGGCCUGGGAAACCAUGGGGCCUCAAGGACCUGGGCUGGGGGGAGGGACCAAUGUACAGAACGGGGUCUGGAGUUUGUCCCCCUCCAGGCCAGAGCUCCUGGAACGACAGCUCUGAGGCACAGGCCCUCCCUCCCUGGGCCCUGCCCCCCUCCCAGGGCCUCUCGUCCCAUCUUCCUGGCUCCACGCUCAGCUCUGUCCCCACUCCCACUGUGGUCCUCCCUUCCCCCGCCUCCUCCCUGGCUUCCCAUGGCGGGGGGGGGGGGGUCCACUGCCCUCUCCUCUUUCUCUCCUUUAGCCCUCUCCCCUCCUCAGGUGUCCCUGUGACUCCCAUUCAGGGUCCUCUGAUGUAGGACAGCCCCCCUCGCCUCCCAUCCUCCCUGCAGGCCCACAUGGGAUUAGGGGGAGCUGGGGGGGCCGUGCUGGUGUCAUGGAAAAUCCUUGCGGCAGCCAAGGUCAGUGUUUGCAGACACAGCCUGGCCUAGAGCCAGGCCUGCCUGCCUGGCCAGCUCCCUCUGGCCUAUCCCAGAGGCCGGUUUUGUUACAGGGGCCCUCAGAGGCACCCCAAGGCAGCUCUGGGUGCCUGGGGUUGGGGGGUCACAGGAGCCAUCCGUCCUGGUAUAUGGGAGACGAUGGGGUUCAACUCACUCAUUUUAUAGAUGGGUAAACUGAGGCCCAGAGAGGGGCAAGGACGGAGCCGGGACUGGAAUCCAGGGCGCUUGGAUCCAGCUCCGUCCUUGUUGCAGAGGGGAGCUUCCUCAAGUGUAUUCGGGUAGGACAGGAAGAGUGAAGGCUGAUAGGAGCUUCUGUUACAUCAAGGGCUAGUCUGAGAUUGGGCCAGACUGGAGGUGGGUCAUGGGGCCGGGGGAAGUAGGCCCAGAUGAUCAGACUAUAGCGCUUAAUGUCAAAACACUUUCUGUCUGAAAGUGCAUCAGAUGAAACAUCUCAGUGGAAGCAUUUUGAAAACCUCAGUGCUCUGUCCAAAGAAGAGGGUAUUAUUACACAAAUUAUUAAAAUGCAAGGCAAAGGCGGGCAAUGUUUUAGGAAGGAUUCAAGAUGGGAUGUGAGGACGGGCUAGUGAUGGACAACUUUGGUUUGCAGAUCAGGAAGGGCUUCACGGAGGAGGUGGCAUUUGCCCUGAGCUCUGAAAGAUGGAUGGGAAAUGUAGGGAAGCUGCUGAAACAAAGACACAAGGCUAGGGAGACGCGUGGCAUGCUAGGGGCAGAGAAAGUCAACCCGAGGCUGAUGGGCAUUUUUAUAAAUGGGGGGCCGGGCAAACUCUCAGGAAGGCAGCCGCGUGAACGCCUCAAGAACCUUGGAAAUGUGUCUGCUUGUGACCCUGCAAUGCCACUUCUAGGAAUCUCUCCUGGGAAAAUAACCAGAGAUCGGAACAAAGAUUUAUGAACAAGGAUGUUUAUAGCGGCGUUUUCAUUGUGAAAAAUUGCAAACAGUCUGAAUAUUUACCAAUCGGGUUUGGUUAAACAUA